AGUUAAUGAACUUGUAACUAAGUAUAUAUUUUGAAAAUAUAAUAAAGGAUUAAAACCUAUUAACUU
This 66-nucleotide transfer RNA is filed under the name Rhagophthalmus giganteus. RNAcentral describes it as "tRNA-Ser". Lineage: Eukaryota; Metazoa; Arthropoda; Insecta; Coleoptera; Rhagophthalmidae. The record is from RNAcentral.